Molecule: RNA transcript, 1670 nt
Organism: Microtus oregoni (creeping vole)
Lineage: Eukaryota; Metazoa; Chordata; Mammalia; Rodentia; Cricetidae
Exons: 3
Source: RefSeq, a predicted model, not a curated record
AAGAGGCACUUUAGAGUGACCCUCCUGUGAAGAUCAACGGGCUGUGCCUUCGCACACAAGACGCCGAGAUGCGGUGUCUCCUGCCAGACCCACACGGUCUGAGCCCGGCGGAGCAAAGCGUGUGCGCCUCCUCCCCGGCAUCAAGGCCACCGGAAGUCCCGCCCUUCACCUCGGAGUUCCGAGGGUGGGCCGUCCCCUUCCCCCCACGUCAUGCCGCCCGCGCCCUCCCCCACUCCCUCCGGCCUGCCCCCCCUUCCCAGUACCCGGAUGUGGGAGGCCGCGGGCGGUGGCGGCCUCGCGCACAAUGAGCCCCGGCCGAGUUAGCUGAAGGGGAGAUUGCACAACACAGACAAGCGAAGCAGACUGGGGGAGGGGAACCUCUCAAGCGGCCAUGUGCUCAUUCGCUCCGUCACUCGGCGGCGUCUCCCCCGCCAUGAAACAAUCCGCAACCCGCCCGCCCCCGUCGAGAAAUGGCGUCGCCCUCCCAUACCUCAGGCCGCUCACCCCCGAAGGAAAGUGGACCUGCCCAUCCGCAGUUUGCCAAUUGCCCGGCUUGUGCGGCAAAAUGGACCCGCCCGCCCGGCGCCGGGUGGGCUCCUGGUGCCUCACGCGGUCGCUCCUCGGGGUUAAGCUCAGUCCUGGCCGUCAAGAAAACCAGCACCCUGAACGGCCUGUUUCUUCUUCCCCAACCCACAUUCCAAGAGCGACGUGAAGACCCAGACACCCCUGCUUGUCGCGAGUGGUACCGCCAGAAUCCUCCGGAACCCUCGCACGCGCCCUGCCCGACACAGGGAGACAACCAGACCAGCCGGCUCCGGGCCGCGCAGCCGCCUCUCCUCUUUCCCACGCUAGGUCGCGACCUCGUCUCGCCUUUCAGUACCCGGGCUCCGCGCACCGCACCGCCCCUCGGGCAGAGGCCUCGCGACGAACCUCGCGCCCUCCGCCCUUUCCCGUCUCCGCGCUGGUGGCAGCGUCGGCCGUGGAUGGAUUCCCCUUUGCCCCCCCUCUGGACGGUUCCUCCCGGCUCGGUUCCCCUCGCAACCUGGUUCCUGCCGAAGUUUUGUUCUUCUGACUACUAAAGAUUGGUGUGUUCACGGUGCGCCAAGAAUGACGGAACCAGUAUCGAUCUCUCAGGGGAUAGGAAGUUUUCCUAACUGGAGAGAAAAGGAUGAAACCCAUUUCUUGUCUAACAGGCAUAGGAAGGUACUCCUUGCUCUACAACUGGCUGAGCCAACUGAGGCAAGAACCCAUCAACAGCCCUAAGCACUGACUGGCGCCAAGGGGGCCGCGCACUUGCUUACCUGCAACACAAAGGCACCACAGUCGCUGUCGUUGUUCUGCCUGGCCACAUUCUAGGGAGGAGAAAGCAAGAGAAUCCCAGAGGUCACGGAUUCAGUUCCCACCUCCUAUCCACUACCUCACUAUUCUACUUCCCUCUGGAAACUCACCAUUUUGAAGUAACCUUUCCAGCCCUGGUGGAAAUCCAGUCGGUCUUUUUUUACGGCUUCUGCCUGCAGAUACUUGGCAAUAUGCUAUGUGGGAAAGGAAAAAGAAAGCGACACCAUCAUUUACCAGCCGAAUGCAGAGUCUGACAGUCAUUCCUCAGGCUUGCUGCCCAGUGGCCAUACAUCUUUACUACUGUCUUCCCACAGCCUCCUCAAACCUUAGGG